RNAcentral lists this ribosomal RNA (253 nucleotides) under uncultured bacterium. RNAcentral describes it as "partial 16S ribosomal RNA". It matches the Rfam family "Bacterial small subunit ribosomal RNA", at positions 524 to 776 of the family's 1533-position model. The record is from RNAcentral.
UACGAAGGGGGCUAGCGUUGCUCGGAAUCACUGGGCGUAAAGCGCACGUAGGCGGCUUUUUAAGUCAGAGGUGAAAUCCUGGAGCUCAACUCCAGAACUGCCUUUGAUACUGGAGAGCUUGAGUCCGGGAGAGGUGAGUGGAACUGCGAGUGUAGAGGUGAAAUUCGUAGAUAUUCGCAAGAACACCAGUGGCGAAGGCGGCACUCUGGGCCGGAACUGACGCUGAGGAGCGAAAGCGUGGGGAGCGAACAGG